UAGCUGGUCUGAGAGGAUGAUCAGUCACACUGGAACUGAGACACGGUCCAGACUCCUACGGGAGGCAGCAGUGGGGAAUAUUGCACAAUGGGCGCAAGCCUGAUGCAGCCAUGCCGCGUGUAUGAAGAAGGUCUUCGGAUUGUAAAGCACUUUCAGUCGUGAGGAAGGUAGGGUAGUUAAUAGUUGCCAAGCUUGACGUUAGCGACAGAAGAAGCACCGGCUAACUCCGUGCCAGCAGCCGCGGUAAUACGGAGGGUGCGAGCGUUAAUCGGAAUUACUGGGCGUAAAGCGCAUGCAGGUGGUUUGUUAAGUCAGAUGUGAAAGCCCGGGGCUCAACCUGGGAAUUGCAUUCGAAACUGGCAGACUAGAGUAUGGUAGAGGGGGGUAGAAUUUCAGGUGUAGCGGUGAAAUGCGUAGAGAUAGGAAGGAACACCGGUGGCGAAGGCGGCCCCCUGGACUGAUACUGACACUCAGAUGCGAAAGCGUGGGGAGCAAACAGGAUUAGAUA
This 508-nucleotide ribosomal RNA is filed under the name Vibrio sp. C259. Its description in RNAcentral is "bacterial SSU rRNA". It matches the Rfam family "Bacterial small subunit ribosomal RNA", at positions 284 to 784 of the family's 1533-position model. The record is from RNAcentral. Lineage: Bacteria; Pseudomonadati; Pseudomonadota; Gammaproteobacteria; Vibrionales; Vibrionaceae.